CCUACGGGUGGCAGCAGUGAGGAAUAUUGGUCAAUGGACGCAAGUCUGAACCAGCCAUGCCGCGUGCAGGAAGACGGCGCUAUGAGUUGUAAACGGCUUUUGUACGAGGGGAAACGCAGAUACGCGUAUCUGUCUGAAAGGAACGUACGAAUAAGGAUCGGCUAACUCCGUGCCAGCAGCCGCGGUAAGACGGAGGAUUCAAGCGUUAUCCGGAUUUAUUGGGUUGAAAGGGUGCGUAGGCGGUCGGAUAAGUUAGAGGUGAAAUCCCGAGGCUCAACUUCGGAAUUGCCUCUGAUACUGUUCGGCUAGCGCGUAGUUGCGGUAGGCGGACUGUCUGGUGUAGCGGU
This 347-nucleotide ribosomal RNA is filed under the name uncultured bacterium. Its description in RNAcentral is "partial 16S ribosomal RNA". It matches the Rfam family "Bacterial small subunit ribosomal RNA", at positions 338 to 682 of the family's 1533-position model. The record is from RNAcentral.